AACCCUGGAUUUCAACAAACUGGAGUCGCUGCCCCGUGAUGUAUUUAAGUCUCAACGACUACAUGAUCUGUGGCUGGGAAAUAACAACUUUAAAGAGUUGCCUGAGGAGCUGUUAGUUGGGCAGGAUGGACUAAGAUACUUGCGGUUGGGUGGCAAUCAGUUAAAACAGCUACCACGAAACAUUUUUAAGGAUUUGUCUCACUUAGAAAAACUG
Stylophora pistillata is the source of this 214-nucleotide long non-coding RNA. The record is from RefSeq and is a predicted model, not a curated record. Lineage: Eukaryota; Metazoa; Cnidaria; Anthozoa; Scleractinia; Pocilloporidae.